AAGCUUGAACAUGAGGAGCUGGCCUCGUACAUCCUUGCGGGGCUGGACAUCGACUUCAAUCCUCUUAUCUCUACAGUGGCGGCGAGGUUAAACCCAUCUCCUUGGGCAAGCUAUAUACACAGCUCGUUGGCUUCAAGG
RNAcentral lists this small nucleolar RNA (138 nucleotides) under Setaria italica (foxtail millet). RNAcentral describes it as "Small nucleolar RNA Z247". It matches the Rfam family "Small nucleolar RNA Z247". From Rfam's summary of the family: Z247 is a member of the C/D class of snoRNA which contain the C (UGAUGA) and D (CUGA) box motifs. Most of the members of the box C/D family function in directing site-specific 2'-O-methylation of substrate RNAs. The record is from Rfam by way of RNAcentral. RNAcentral also lists the same sequence under 1 other name. Lineage: Eukaryota; Viridiplantae; Streptophyta; Magnoliopsida; Poales; Poaceae.